GGGGGCGCUGCAGUUCUAACUGUGCUCCAAGAAACACCAACGAAUGAACGACGGUCCGAAGGGAGAAGAGGACGGAGCCGCUGAACGGAGCCGGAUUUACCGGCAGAUUAGUAACGGGCUGCUAGAGAGCGACUCGUUAGCUCUAGUAGCCUGGUUAGCUGUGUUAGCUCUAGUAGCCUGGUGAGCUGUGUUAGCUCUAGUAGCCUGGUUAACUUGUGUUAGCUCUAGUAGCCUGGUCAGCUGUGUUAGCUCUAGUAGCCUGGUUAGCUGUGUUAGCUCUAGUAGACUGGAUAGCUGUGUUAGCUCUAGUAGCCUGGUUAGCUGUGUUAGCUCUAGUAGCCUGGAUAGCUGUGUUAGCUCUAGUAGCCUGGUUAACUUGCGUUAGCUCUCGUAGCCUGGUUAGCUGUGUUAGCGCUAGUAGUCUGGUUAGCUGUGUUAGCUCUAGUAGCCUGGUUAGCUGUGUUAGCUCUAGUAGCAUGGUUAGCUAUGUUAGCUCUAGUAGCCUGGUUAACUUGUGUUAGGUCUAGUAGCCUGGUUAGCUGUGUUAGCUCCAGUAGCCUGGUUAGCUGUGUUAGCUCUAGUAGCCUGGUUAGGUGUGUUAGCUCCAGUAGCCUGGUUAGCUGUGUUAGCUCCAGUAGCCUGGUUAGCUGUGUUAGCUCCAGUAGCCUGGUUAGCUGUGUUAGCUCUAGUAACCUGGUUAGCUGUGGUAGCUCUAGUAGCCUGGUUAGCUGUAUUAGCUCUAGUAGCCUGGAUAGCUGUGUUAGCUCUAGUAGCCUGGUUAACUUGUGUUAGCUCCAGUAGCCUGGUCAGCUGUGUUAGCUCUAGUAGCCUGGUUAGCUGUGGUAGCUCUAGUAGCCUGGUUAGCUGUGUUAGCUCUAGUAGCCUGGAUAGCUGUGUUAGCUCUAGUAGCCUGGUUAGCUGUGUUAGCUCCAGUAGCCUGGUUAGCUGUGUUAGCUCUAGUAGCCUGGUUAGCUGUGUUAGCUCUAGUAGCCUGGUUAGCUGUGUUAGCUCUAGUAACCUGGUUAGCUGUGUUAGCUCUAGUAGCCUGGUUAGCUGUGUUAGCUCUAGUAGCCUGAUUAACUUGUGUUAGCUCUAGUAACCUGGUUAGCUGUGUUAGCUCUAGUAGCCUGGUUAGCUGUGUUAGCUCUAGUAGCCUGAUUAACUUGUGUUAGCUCUAGUAGCCUGGUUAGUUGUGUUAGCUCUAGUAACCUGGUUAGCUGUGUUAGCUCCAGUAGCCUGGUUAGCUGUGUUAGCUCUAGUAGCCUGAUUAACUUGUGUUAGCUCUAGUAACCUGGUUAGCUUUGUUAGCUCCAUUAGCCUGGUUAGCUGUGGUAGCUCUAGUAGCCUGGUUAACUUGUGUUAGAUCCAGUAGCCUGGUUAGCUGUGUUAGCUCCAGUAGCCUGGUUAGCUCUAGUAGCCUGGUUAACUUGUGUUAGCUCUAGUAGCCUGGUUAGCUGUGUUAGCUCUAGUAGCCUGGUUAGCUGUGUUAGCUCUAGUAGCCUGGUUAGCUGUGUUAGCUCUAGUAGCCUGGUUAGCUGUGUUAGCUCUAGUAGCCUGGUUAACUUGUGUUAGCUCUCGUAGCCUGAUUAACUUGUGUUAGCUCUCGUAGCCUGGUUAGGUGUGUUAGCUCUAGUAGCCUGGUUAGCUGUGUUAGCUCUAGUAGCCUGGUUAGCUGUGUCAGCUCUAGUAGCCUGGUUAACUUGUGUUAUAAGAUCAAUUUGUAUUAAUCACGAAGGAAAUAAUUGUGCCAGAUUUUACUCAGUAAACGUACAAUAACGAGUAAAUGCAGUGAGCCAACAGAGUAGCAAUAAACUGAAUGUAUUAUUGUUAAAAAAAAUAAUAUAAAUAAGCUAAAAUGAAUCUGCAGUAGAAAAGUUUGAAGUAAUACUUGUGAUGAUAUUGAAGAAGUAAAGUAAUUUUACACAAGAUGAAAAUGUGAAGAAAAAAGGCUCAUAUUGUAGGGGAGUGCGUCUUAAUAAUAAUAAAUAUAAUAAUACAUUUUAUUUGUAUAGCGCUUUUCAAAAUACACAAAGUUACUUUACAUAGUUCUAUAUAAAAUCAGCAAACAUUCAAACAGGAGUAUCAUAAAGCAAGUCAUAAAACACAUCAUAGAAAUAAGUUCUAAACAGUUCUGAACAAGUGGUCCUGAUAACGUUUUGUUUUUUCUCUUCUGCAGUUCAUCAGCCACCAGAGAGUCCUGAAGAGUACAAACUUAACGAGAAGCAGAAGGAUCAUCCUUGAUGUGUCUCCUGUCUGGAUGUACAGCCGACAUGUCAUUCAUAUUAUUAGGAACACCUGAGAAAUCUCAUGCAGCACAGUACUCACAGGAAAGGGCUGAUUCUAAUUUAUUAUUGGGCUGUUUGGUGCUAAACUGUACUCCAUCUAAAGUAUUCCUAAAUGGUGUUGAUGUGUAGCAGCAGUAGAAAUGUCAGUAGAAACUCUAGUAGAAACGUCAGCAGAAAGUCCAGUAGAAACGUCAGUAGAAACUCUAGUAGAAACUCUAGUAGAAACGUCAGUAGAAACUAGUAGAAACAUCAGUAGAAACUCUAGUAGAAACGUCAGUAGAAACUCUAGUAGAAACGUCAGUAGAAACUCUAGGAGAAACGUCAAUAGAAACUCUAGUAGAAACGUCAGUAGAAACUCUAGUAGAAACGUCAGUAGAAACUCUAGGAGAAACGUCAAUAGAAACUCUAGUAGAAACUCUAGUAGAAACGUCAAUAGAAACUCUAGUAGAAAUGUCAGUAGAAACUCCAGUAGAAACGUCAGUAGAAACUCUAGUAGAAACGUCAGUAGAAACUCUAGGAGAAACUAGUAGAAACUCUAGUAGAAACUCUAGUAGAAACUAUAGUAGAAACUUCAGCAGCAAUAAGAAAACCAGUCGAUAGUUUCACUAGAAGGUCCUGAAAGCUCAGAACGUCUCACUGCAAGAACAAACCUUGCAAACCUUUGUUCUGAUGUGUUGUUCUAGAGCAGAUUCAGUUUCUUCACCUGGUCCAAAGCAAAGACAUGAACCAAGUUUCAGCGUUACAGUCGUUAGAAAACGGUGCCAAUUUAUCGUUAUUUAUUCAGGUCGGUGGGUGGAGCAAAGAAAAUACGACAACUUGUUUGUUUACAUGAAGUCUGGAGGAUCCAGAUCUCUAAUAAAGUUUCUAUGAGGAGACUUCAUCUUGUUCUGUUGUCUGUUUACAGUAAGGAAUGAAUCCAGCAGUGAGAAGUAUCAGCA
Molecule: long non-coding RNA, 3223 nt
Organism: Amphiprion ocellaris (clown anemonefish)
Lineage: Eukaryota; Metazoa; Chordata; Actinopteri; Pomacentridae
Source: Ensembl